AAAAGACUGCAUUUUAUGCCUAUCUUAGCAAUUUUAUAAGAGAUGAUCAGGAAGUCAUUAAAAGAGCAUGUUAAUGACCUAUAAACAUUUCCCAGGAAUUGAACACUAGAUGCGAAGUCAUCCAAGACUCUGCCUCUGCUUGUUAUGGAGAAAUUUAUUGAGAUAAACUCCAAGGACCUCAGACAACCUUUUUGAGGGAGUGAAACUCAUGAGAUUCUCCCUGGUCCCGAACACAUGAGACUUCCUGUGGUCUGAAACACACAGGCUUCUCAGCGUGCAUUAGCACGAAUCAGCAAGAAGGACUUCAAGCAACAUACCUCUUCUGGACCAAGAAUACAAAUGAAUGGACUUCAUUAAUUUCAUACCCAGCUCAAGGAUCCUAAUAGAGAAGAUGUCCACUGUUCCAAGGCUCUAUUUACUAAGAUGAGUUUUGACCUAGGUGUGUGAUCCUUUCAUUGAUCUCUGAAGUCAACAAUCACCUUUUUAAAAUUGUUUUAUUAUUUUUAUCAAUUCUCUGACUUUAAAUCUAACAUUGCAAUUUCACAAAAUUUUAAAUAAGUAAGAUAUAUUUGGGUUGAUUGUGAAGACCUUUCCCUAAUUUCUCACUUUCCUUUUCUAAACAAGAUACUUUCAUGCCAAAUAAUCCAACAGUGCUUAGUACUAUCUAUGGCAUAAGGGUGCUCAAUGACCCUUCCAUGCAUGGAGAAUGCUUUUGAUUUAAUUUGAUUUGACCUUCACUGAAAACAACCUCCAGGAAAUAUCUGUCGGUGCUCAGCACCACUUCUGCCCUUCUAAUCUCUCCUCUGUAUGGCAAGGGCCAAAAACCUGGAAAAUACAUUUCCCAAACUCUCUUAUGAGCAGGAUUCUGGAUGAAUGAAUGGCUCAGGAGAGAUAUGGGAAGAGGAAAAGAGAGCAUGCCAUCAUUUUCAGCUGUGGGCAGCACAAGGGUAUCGGCAGUGACAGAUGUGAUAUUCUUCCAGCAGCUCCCAAAUAGCCUCCUGACAAUCAGCUCCUUGGUGCUUUGGGCUUUGAGAUCAA
Microcebus murinus (gray mouse lemur) is the source of this 1038-nucleotide non-coding RNA. The record is from RefSeq and is a predicted model, not a curated record. Lineage: Eukaryota; Metazoa; Chordata; Mammalia; Primates; Cheirogaleidae.